Mercenaria mercenaria is the source of this 1015-nucleotide long non-coding RNA. RefSeq lists it as uncharacterized. The transcript has 3 exons. The record is from RefSeq and is a predicted model, not a curated record. NCBI's taxonomy places the organism in Eukaryota, Metazoa, Mollusca, Bivalvia, Venerida, Veneridae.
CAUCCGGAAACCAAUUGGUCAACAUACCUAAUGACCGACAGACUGACCAACAUCUGCAAAACAGUAUACCCAGGCUCCUUCUUCAAAGGGUUUCAUUAAAAUCAGAAUAAGUCUAUGCUGACACUAGCUGGACAAAAAUAAUAUUCAGAAUGGUAUACAGAAAAUUUGAAUUUUCGUUCUUUUGUGAGACAGAAUAUUUAUUGCUUAUUAUAGCUUUGCAUUAUAUUCAAUGAAAGACAGAAAAGGUGGAAAAUAGGUGGCAACUAGUGGAAAUUGGCUGUACUAGCUGAAUCUGAAAAGAUCAUUUUUAAAUGUGUCUGCAGUGUAUUAUUUCUGCAUGAGAGAAAGUUGGUUAAAGAUAAGAUUAAUGAUAGAUCAAGUUACAAGCUCCCACACAAAUGUAUAGAAACAACCCCAGGUGGAAUUUGGGUCAGUUAAGAUUUAUAUAUGCAGGCAAACAUCAGGUCAGAUGCAAAGAAAUAGUUCUUGCCUAUUCUCUUCAUUAAUUGAAAAAAAAGAAGUGUUUAUAAAAAGGAUGUUUUUACAAUAGCUUUUCAACUUAAGGAUUUGACACCUUCUUUAGCUGACCAAGAAAGUGUAUGUGUGGAAUCAAUUUAUCUGUGUAGUAAUACCAAGUUUUGAAAUCUGGCAUUUGAUGAGUCAGCCUGGGAGAAACUGGAAACACAUUGUGAGAGGUACCUUCUGUGAAAAAAGUGCAACUUUGUGACAUGAUAUGCCUGCCUGACUGUAUAUACCUGAGCAGCACACAGCUUAUUACUGCAUAAAAGAAACAUAUCAAGAUAAUUUUGAAUCAGAUUGUGUGCUGGAAAAAUGGCCUUACAUCCAAAGGAGUGAAAUUUGGAGAGUCAUUCGCCAUCUACUUAAGCCAUCCUGGAAUAUGAAAAAAUAAGACUGCAUUGACAACAUCCUGAUCCUCGUGUUCAGAUCUUUUGUGAUUUCUUGUGAAGAGUCUUUGAUUUUUCAUAAAAAUAAAAAAUAUAUUAAUAUAAUUUGA